RNAcentral lists this ribosomal RNA (301 nucleotides) under uncultured bacterium. RNAcentral describes it as "partial 16S ribosomal RNA". It matches the Rfam family "Bacterial small subunit ribosomal RNA", at positions 509 to 809 of the family's 1533-position model. The record is from RNAcentral.
CAGCAGCCGCGGGAAUACGGAGGGGGCUAGCGUUGUUCGGAAUUACUGGGCGUAAAGCGUGCGCAGGCGGCUGUGUAAGACAGGUGUGAAACCCCCGGGCUUAACCUGGGAACUGCGCUUGUGACUGCACAGCUAGAGUAUGGCAGAGGGGGGUGGAAUUCCACGUGUAGCAGUGAAAUGCGUAGAGAUGUGGAGGAACACCGAUGGCGAAGGCAGCCCCCUGGGCCAAUACUGACGCUCAUGCACGAAAGCGUGGGGAGCAAACAGGAUUAGAUACCCGCGUAGUCCCUGUCUCUUAUAU